GGGAGUGUUUGUUCAUUUGGGGUUCUCUGUUAUUAACAAUUUUAGUUCUCCCUGUCUGUGAAAUGAACAAUUGACUUUGUAGUCGGUGGUGAACAACGCGGUACCAGAUGGGGGCUGGUGAGAGGGAGAGAGAGGAGCUACUGAACAAAACUCUUCCCCUGUCAAGUGAAUCAGCUGUUGAUGCCUCUGUGUUUUCGGGUUGGUGGGUGUGAGAAGGGCCUUGUUACAGUAUCAGGACCUUGAUGAGAGCCUUUCAACUACUUUUUCUUUUUUUGUACUGUCUUUUAAACAGGUUAUGCUUAAAAGAAAGUUUCUGCUGAGUGCUUUUAUGGCUUCGUUGGUAACUUCAUAGUAAAACAGCUACUGCCAGUAUCUGAUUGCCAUAUCAUCUGGAUCCAGAGAUCACUUUUACUAAAAUGUGGACUGCCAAAAUGCUUUGUAGUGCUCAAACACUCUUACUCCAGAUGAAAGAAGGCCAACUGUGUAGUUGCAUGUUUCCCAAAACGUGGGAGUUCUGGAUUGGAAUUCCAAGCUACUGCAGUUCAAGAGUGCCACAUAACAGAGUUAAAUUCCAGGUUUCUGAGGUAAAUGAUAAACAAUCUGUAGUUGAUAGAAAAAUGGCUACUAGUGCAGAAACCAAAAUAGCUGUUGGAAAAAGUCCCAGUGGAGUAUGUGAUGGAAGACAACAUUCAUUACAAGGUAUUGAACCUUUUGCCACCCUCUUCUGGGGAGUCAGCCUUCCGUGCCCCUCUGUUGGCAUCUUAAAGGUCAAGGUCUAAAUUCUUAAUUUGAAAGUUUUAUAUUGUAUGAUGUGUUUCUCUUUUUGAUUUUAAGGGGAUUAUAUGCAAAUGUUAUAGUUUGCAAAGACUCACAAUUUUCUUAAGGUUCUUAAUAGCUGGUUAGAUUAUGUACUUAUUAUUUUUCUUCUUCAACUUCAUCAAACUCUUAUAUUCACUGAAGGCUGUGAAUUGUUAUGCUAGUGCACUUUUUUGCCAUUAGAAAUGUGAAAAACCAAACAUUUUUGUGUCAGUAGUGAUUUUUGAUUCAGAUAAAUUAGUAGUUACCUUUAUGACCUUAAUUUUAGCAGUGCUGCUGAGCUAAGCAGUUUUUUUUGUGACUCUGCUUGUUUUGUCACUCUUUGGUAAUAACUUAUCCUCAGAUGUGCUGUAUGCAUCACACAUUUUAGCUCCUGUGCGCUUCAGGGUGCUUGGUCAUUUGCAUUCUAUGUAUAUUUAGAUUUUGUUUGUAAAGGUGUUUGUACUCAGUUGCUUUGGGCAUUUUCAGCUUUUGUUUACAAAUGGCAUGACAUGGAGGUGGUUGUGACAGGUUAAGGCACUGGGAUGGUACAAUGUUUAUAUAAUUACACUGCUCAGGAAACAGCCCUAUGAGAAACAGUUGUGCUAUUUCAUGUGCAUGACAAUCAGG
This is a long non-coding RNA of Camarhynchus parvulus, 1425 nucleotides long. The record is from Ensembl. Lineage: Eukaryota; Metazoa; Chordata; Aves; Passeriformes; Thraupidae.